Molecule: long non-coding RNA, 277 nt
Filed under: Phoenix dactylifera (date palm)
Lineage: Eukaryota; Viridiplantae; Streptophyta; Magnoliopsida; Arecales; Arecaceae
Description: long non-coding RNA (PDAC_LNC008307)
Source: RNAcentral
UUGGAGGGCUAAGAUGGAAAAGGAUUCUGAUUUCUGUGUUUUCACUCAAAUAGAAGGCUAGUAUUAAUGAAUAUGGUGAGUUAUUUAAGGAUGAGAGGAAGUCAUGGAGAAAGAAUUCUUAACAGCAAAUUGGAUAUUUAGGUAUGAUUUAGGAGGAAAAUGGCAACCUUUUCAUCUUUUCUAGAUCUAAGGAUAGGGAUCCAUUUAAUUGGAAAUUAAGGGGUAAUCUAAGGGUAGGAUGAUCAAUUAAGCUGCAAUAGGGUAUGGUGAGGAUGCU